This 670-nucleotide ribosomal RNA is filed under the name Lactiplantibacillus plantarum. RNAcentral describes it as "bacterial SSU rRNA". It matches the Rfam family "Bacterial small subunit ribosomal RNA", at positions 20 to 655 of the family's 1533-position model. The record is from RNAcentral. Lineage: Bacteria; Bacillati; Bacillota; Bacilli; Lactobacillales; Lactobacillaceae.
UGGCUCAGGACGAACGCUGGCGGCGUGCCUAAUACAUGCAAGUCGAACGAACUCUGGUAUUGAUUGGUGCUUGCAUCAUGAUUUACAUUUGAGUGAGUGGCGAACUGGUGAGUAACACGUGGGAAACCUGCCCAGAAGCGGGGGAUAACACCUGGAAACAGAUGCUAAUACCGCAUAACAACUUGGACCGCAUGGUCCGAGUUUGAAAGAUGGCUUCGGCUAUCACUUUUGGAUGGUCCCGCGGCGUAUUAGCUAGAUGGUGGGGUAACGGCUCACCAUGGCAAUGAUACGUAGCCGACCUGAGAGGGUAAUCGGCCACAUUGGGACUGAGACACGGCCCAAACUCCUACGGGAGGCAGCAGUAGGGAAUCUUCCACAAUGGACGAAAGUCUGAUGGAGCAACGCCGCGUGAGUGAAGAAGGGUUUCGGCUCGUAAAACUCUGUUGUUAAAGAAGAACAUAUCUGAGAGUAACUGUUCAGGUAUUGACGGUAUUUAACCAGAAAGCCACGGCUAACUACGUGCCAGCAGCCGCGGUAAUACGUAGGUGGCAAGCGUUGUCCGGAUUUAUUGGGCGUAAAGCGAGCGCAGGCGGUUUUUUAAGUCUGAUGUGAAAGCCUUCGGCUCAACCGAAGAAGUGCAUCGGAAACUGGGAAACUUGAGAGCAUAAGA